UUGCUGCCAUUAAUGUGUCUCUUUCUCUUUUUUUGUUCUUUGACCUAGGGAAGAUUUAGGAUUCAGAUUUAUAUCGGAACAGGUCAGUCACCACCCCCCCAUCAGUGCGUUCCACUCGGAAGGCCUCAACCAUGACUUCCUGUUCCACGGCUCCAUCUACCCCAAGCUCAAGUUCUGGGGCAAAAGCGUGGAGGCGGAGCCCCGAGGCACCAUCACCCUGGAGCUGCUCAAGUGAGUGUCGACAUAACGAAGCCUACACCUGGACCAACCCCACCUGCUGCGUCCACAACGUCAUCAUCGGGAAGCUGUGGAUAGAGCAGUAUGGGACAGUGGAGAUUUUAAACCACAGAACUGGACAUAAGUGUGUGCUUCACUUUAAACCGUGUGGAUUAUUUGGAAAAGAACUUCACAAGGUGGAAGGACACAUUCAAGACAAAAACAAAAAGAAGCUCUUUAUGAUCUAUGGCAAAUGGACGGAAUGUUUGUGGGGCAUAGAUCCUGUUUCAUAUGAAUCCUUCAAGAAGCAGGAGAGGAGAGGCGACCACCUGAGAAAGGCCAAGCUGGUAAGGGCUGGGGCGUCUCCGGGCAGAGCUGAGCCCUGGGUGCUGAGGGCUGCCAGGCCGCUGCUGCCUUUAGCUCACUGUUGGGGGCCCAGGGAGCCUUUGGGCCCCACCAGGAGAGAUGAAUGUGCAGAAUUUGUCUGUCCAGAUGAACCGUGUGUUGUGGGUUCCAGUAUCAGUAGGGGGGGUUAAUCUGUAUUUCUUUCCGUUUUUUUUUUUUUUUUUUCCCCCUCCAGGCAGGGUCUCCCUCUGUUGCCCAGGCUGGAGUGCAGUGGUGCAGUCAUAGCUCACUGCAACCUCCAGCUACCAGGCUCAAGCAGUCCUCCGUCCUUAGCCUCCCAAGUGGCUAGGACUAUAGGCAUGUACCACCAUGCCUGACUAAUGUUUAUUUUUUUUUGUAGAGAUGGGGUCUUGCUAUGUUGCCCAGGCUGGUCUUGAACUCCUGGGCUUAAGCAAUCCUCCCACCUCGGCCUCCCAAAGUGCUGGGAUUACUAAUAGGCGUGAACCACAACACCCAGCCGAUUUAUCUGUAUUUCGGUUGCACGGAGGCUGCUGCUAUAAACCGUGGGCACCAGUGCCCUAGAGUCAUACAUGGUCGCUGGCCCCCAUGGCUGGAAGUAUCUGAGGGAACCUCAGGCAAGGCCGUUUCUUUUCUGGAAGCUCCAAGUUCUGGGUCCUUCUUAAUAAAUCUUCUUGCUUUCUUUGAGUUAGCCUAGACAUAUUGUUAAAAAUCAAGUGAAUUUCAAUUUUUUGUUUUUAGUUGUGAGUACCAAAUAAUAUAUUCAACAGCCAGAAAGUACUGGCAAGGCUUUUUCCCCUUAGAGCUUUGGAAUACUCAUUACCUUAAGACUAGUUGUUCUUGAACUUAAAAGUGAUAGUUCAAAAGAGGUGUCAUAUUUUCUACAUAAUGAAUUGGAAUGUACCAAGCCUGAAAUGUUCAAUAUUUAUUUAACGGAAACAUUCAGCCUCCUCCGGAUCCCAAGUGUUUUUUAUGUUGUAGUAUUCAUUUGUGCUGUUAGACACCUUUUCUAAUCACCCUCUUUUAUUUAAAAAGGAAAAUUCUGCUUACACACUAGACAGACCUAGAAGGGUAAAUCCAUUUAGCGAUGUCUUUUGAUGCUUUCCUGCUCCUUAAGGUGACCUAGAAACGGGAGUUUUCUGUGAAUGCUUCCCCCUGGGCUUUGACUUGCCCCGGCCUCAGGCCACGGGGCCUACAGCCAGUGUGAAUACAGCUGGUGCAGGAAGCCCUGGGCUUUGACUCGCUUGUUUUCAGUGGUCUCCCUGAACAGCUGCUUCUGGAAUCAUUGUCUCCCUUUUCUAGGACCCAUUUAUUUUGAGAAGCAAUGUGGCAGGUUUUAUCUUUUCAUCAGGGUGUAGAGAGCCUGAAACCCCCACACAGGAGCCACUUAUUGAUGGAGGGCAAAGCUGCGCUAUCUAGAAAGCUCUCAGUCCCAGAACCUGCCUUCUGGAGAGGCGCCGUGCGUGUGAAUGAACCUGCUGUUUGGAAGGCACCGCUGUGUCGUCGCGCUCAGACUCCACCAAGGCACCGCUGUGUCUUCGCACUCAGACUCCACGAAGGCACCGCUGUGUCUUCGCACUCAGACUCCACAAAGGCACCGCUGUGUUGUCACGCUCAGACUCCAUGAAGUGCCGUUUCGCGUGCACCGCUUCUCCUGAAGGGAAACACGCCUGGCCACUGACUUCCUUCGUCUCUGCGAAGGGAAACACGCCUGGCCACUGACCUCUGUCGUCUCCGCUCUGGGUGUCAGUUGGAACAGAAAGCACAGCCCCACGAAGGGAGUGUGAGCUGCUUUAGGGACUGGGGCCCAGCUCCUCUCCGUACAGUGAUGGACAGACAGUGUCAUAGACUGGAGAGGAAAUUCGAUUUUCUCCUUAGUUUAAGAAGAAAAAGGCCGGGUGUGGUGGUUUACGCCUGUAAUCUCAGCACUUUGGGAGGCCGAGGCGGGUGGAUUGCCUGAGGUCAGGAGUUCGAGACCAGCCUGGCCAACAUAAGUGAAACCCCGUCUCUACUAAAAGUACAAAAAAUUAGCUGGGCAUGGUAAUGGGCGCCUGUAAUUCCAGCUACUCAGGAGGCUGAGGCAGGAGAACCUCUUGAACUCGGGAGGCAGAGGUUGCAGUGACCCGAGAUCGCACCAUUGCACUCCAGCCUGGGCGACAGAGCGAGACUCCGUCUG
Molecule: small RNA, 2755 nt
Filed under: Pongo abelii (Sumatran orangutan)
Lineage: Eukaryota; Metazoa; Chordata; Mammalia; Primates; Hominidae
Description: retained intron
Source: RNAcentral